This 2324-nucleotide unclassified non-coding RNA is filed under the name Harpegnathos saltator (Jerdon's jumping ant). Its description in RNAcentral is "heterogeneous nuclear ribonucleoprotein R, transcript variant X11". Lineage: Eukaryota; Metazoa; Arthropoda; Insecta; Hymenoptera; Formicidae. The record is from RNAcentral.
GUCAUCAUCAUCGCCACCGCCGCCGCUGUCGUCGUCGUCGUCGUCGUCGCCGCAGCAGCAGCCAUCGUCGUCGCUGCCGCUGUUGCCGCCGAUCGUCUUUUACCACCCCCUCGUGCCGCUCGCGCGCCGCGCUCGCAUAUAUUCUCGGUGCAGUCUACGCGCAACGGCGUGAACGUGACCGCGAGUGCCACCGCCUCCGCUGCCGCCGUCGCCGCUGCUGCCGCCGCCGCCGCCGCCGUCGUCGCUGCUGCUGCCGCCGCCGCCGCCGCCGCCGUCGCCGCCGCCGCCGCCGCCGCUGCCUGUCGUCAAUUCUGAAGUACGAGGAACGCGGAAAGAAAGAACUGUGACGUGCCAAUUAAUAUGAGUUUUACCACACCCGACGGGAGAUCCUGACUGUUUUCUUGUGUCGUCGUCUCCUGGUGUUUCACCGUCGCAACGACCACGCUAAAUUGUUACCGGUGAGGAGUACAAACUCGGCACAGCUAUGGCAGAAGGGAAUGGGGAGAUAAAAAUGGAAGAAAAACAGUCAAAGGAGGAAAUGGAAUAUGUGGAACGGACAGAAGACUUUAACAAACUCAUGCAAUACGGACUGGACGAGAAAGUGGCUGCCAAACUGGAUGAGAUCUAUAAAACAGGAAAAUUGGCUCAUGUCGACCUGGAUGAGAGGGCUCUCGAUGCUCUAAAGGAAUUCCCAGUUGACGGUGCGCUAAAUGUACUCACGCAAUUUCUAGAGUCUAAUUUGGAACAUGUAUCUAACAAAUCUGCAUAUCUUUGCGGAGUGAUGAAGACAUACCGACAAAAGAGUCGUGCUGGUCAAGGUACAGGCACCAGUACGACACCAAAAGCUCCAGAUGAGGACAAAAUCAAGAUGAUUCUGGAAAGAACAGGAUAUCCUUUGGAUGUGACUACUGGACAAAGAAAAUACGGUGGUCCUCCUCCAAAUUGGGAGGGUCCUACACCUGGCACUGGUUGUGAGGUAUUUUGUGGCAAAAUCCCAAAAGACAUGUAUGAAGACGAAUUAAUUCCAUUAUUUGAGAAAUGCGGAAAAAUUUGGGACUUGAGACUGAUGAUGGACCCCAUGUCAGGUUCCAACAGAGGAUACGCAUUUAUCACAUUUACAAACAGGGAAGCUGCGCAGCAGGCUGUCCGAGAGCUGAAUGAUUAUGAGAUUCGGAAAGGGAAAAAGAUUGGUGUUACCGUAUCUUAUAACAAUCACCGCUUGUUUGUGGGAAAUAUUCCAAAGAAUCGAGACCGAGAUGACUUGUUCGAAGAGUUUACAAAGCACGCACCUGGCCUGACCGAAGUGAUUAUCUACAGCUCACCGGAUGACAAAAAGAAGAAUAGAGGUUUUUGCUUUUUGGAGUAUGAAUCUCACAAAGCAGCUUCCUUAGCCAAACGAAGAUUGAGCACUGGACGUAUCAAGGUUUGGGGAUGUGAUAUUAUUGUUGACUGGGCCGACCCUCAAGAGGAACCAGAUGAACAAACCAUGUCCAAAGUGCGCGUGCUUUACGUACGGAAUUUAACACAAGAUUGCUCUGAAGAGAAACUGAAGGAAAGUUUCGAACAAUAUGGAAAAAUCGAACGAGUGAAGAAGAUCAAGGAUUACGCUUUUAUACACUUUGAAGAUAGAGAUAACGCUGUUAGGGCAAUGAACGAACUAAAUGGGAAGGAAAUGGGUGGAUCCCACAUAGAAGUUUCAUUGGCAAAACCGCCGUCUGACAAAAAGAAGAAAGAAGAGAUGUUGCGCGCUAGGGAAAGACGAAUGAUGCAGAUGUUACAGGGUAGAGGCGGUGGAUCUCCAUCUCACCCGAGCAUGAUGGGAGGACCAAUGCCAGUUCGCGGACCUGCACAGGGACCUCGAGGUACUGGCGCAGGUAUGCGUGGACAGAUGGGACGUGGCGAUUACGCUCUCAAGGAAAUAGAUUAUGAUUACGACUAUUACGGUUAUGGGGAUUAUCGAGGUGGCUACAGUGAUCCCUAUUACGAUGACUAUUAUCGAUACGAAGAUUACUAUUUCGAUUAUGCGCCGCCUCCGCCGCCUGCCAGAGGGAGGGGCAGGCAGCCUCAACCGCUGCCAGUGCAGUAGCUUCUGUCGCUUAAAGUUACUACGCCAACGUUCGCUUUUCGCUUUGGAUAACUCUGCUCAGUCCUGCUGUAUGUAAGGACGUGGCUGGUCGUGGCCGUGGAGUAGCGCCACGUGGCCGAAUCGGUGGCCCGCAAACCCGUGGGCCAGUCAGGGGGGGACGCAACCCCGCAACUUCAGGGCCCCGUGGGGUCCAGCGGCUGGCCGCUCGUGGGGGGGUCCGCGCCAAGGGAAGUUUACC